GUAAACUUCUUUUGCAGGGGAAUAAAGUGCAGGACGCGUCCUGUUUUGUAUGUACCCUGAGAAUAAGGAUCGGCUAACUCCGUGCCAGCAGCCGCGGUAAUACGGAGGAUCCGAGCGUUAUCCGGAUUUAUUGGGUUUAAAGGGUGCGUAGGUGGUUUGAUAAGUCAGCGGUGAAAGUUUGCAGCUUAACUGUAAAAAUGCCGUUGAAACUGUCGGACUUGAGUGUAAAUGAGGUAGGCGGAAUGCGUGGUGUAGCGGUGAAAUGCAUAGAUAUCACGCAGAACUCCGAUUGCGAAGGCAGCUUACUAAGCUACAACUGACACUGAAGCACGAAAGCGUGGGGAUCAAACAGGAUUAGAUACCCUGGUAGUCCACGCAGUAAACGAUGAUUACUAGCUGUUUGCGAUACACAGUAAGCGGCACAGCGAAAGCGUUAAGUAAUCCACCUGGGGAGUAC
Molecule: ribosomal RNA, 457 nt
Filed under: uncultured bacterium
Lineage: Bacteria
Description: bacterial SSU rRNA
Rfam family: Bacterial small subunit ribosomal RNA
Source: RNAcentral